This 1290-nucleotide ribosomal RNA is filed under the name Staphylococcus pseudintermedius. RNAcentral's name for it is "bacterial SSU rRNA". It matches the Rfam family "Bacterial small subunit ribosomal RNA", at positions 213 to 1493 of the family's 1533-position model. Lineage: Bacteria; Bacillati; Bacillota; Bacilli; Caryophanales; Staphylococcaceae. The record is from RNAcentral.
UGUCACUUAUAGAUGGACCCGCGCCGUAUUAGCUAGUUGGUGGGGUAACGGCCUACCAAGGCGACGAUACGUAGCCGACCUGAGAGGGUGAUCGGCCACACUGGAACUGAGACACGGUCCAGACUCCUACGGGAGGCAGCAGUAGGGAAUCUUCCGCAAUGGGCGAAAGCCUGACGGAGCAACGCCGCGUGAGUGAUGAAGGUCUUCGGAUCGUAAAGCUCUGUUGUUAGGGAAGAACAAAUGUGUAAGUAACUGUGCACAUCUUGACGGUACCUAACCAGAAAGCCACGGCUAACUACGUGCCAGCAGCCGCGGUAAUACGUAGGUGGCAAGCGUUAUCCGGAAUUAUUGGGCGUAAAGCGCGCGUAGGCGGUUUUUUAAGUCUGAUGUGAAAGCCCACGGCUCAACCGUGGAGGGUCAUUGGAAACUGGAAAACUUGAGUGCAGAAGAGGAAAGUGGAAUUCCAUGUGUAGCGGUGAAAUGCGCAGAGAUAUGGAGGAACACCAGUGGCGAAGGCGGCUUUCUGGUCUGCAACUGACGCUGAUGUGCGAAAGCGUGGGGAUCAAACAGGAUUAGAUACCCUGGUAGUCCACGCCGUAAACGAUGAGUGCUAAGUGUUAGGGGGUUUCCGCCCCUUAGUGCUGCAGCUAACGCAUUAAGCACUCCGCCUGGGGAGUACGGUCGCAAGACUGAAACUCAAAGGAAUUGACGGGGACCCGCACAAGCGGUGGAGCAUGUGGUUUAAUUCGAAGCAACGCGAAGAACCUUACCAAAUCUUGACAUCCUUUGACCGCUCUAGAGAUAGAGUUUUCCUCUUCGGAGGACAAAGUGACAGGUGGUGCAUGGUUGUCGUCAGCUCGUGUCGUGAGAUGUUGGGUUAAGUCCCGCAACGAGCGCAACCCUUGAACUUAGUUGCCAUCAUUCAGUUGGGCACUCUAAGUUGACUGCCGGUGACAAACCGGAGGAAGGUGGGGAUGACGUCAAAUCAUCAUGCCCCUUAUGAUUUGGGCUACACACGUGCUACAAUGGACAAUACAAAGGGCAGCGAAACCGCGAGGUCAAGCAAAUCCCAUAAAGUUGUUCUCAGUUCGGAUUGUAGUCUGCAACUCGACUACAUGAAGCUGGAAUCGCUAGUAAUCGUAGAUCAGCAUGCUACGGUGAAUACGUUCCCGGGUCUUGUACACACCGCCCGUCACACCACGAGAGUUUGUAACACCCGAAGCCGGUGGAGUAACCAUUUUGGAGCUAGCCGUCGAAGGUGGGACAAAUGAUUGGGGUGAAGUCGUAACA